Non-coding RNA from Gossypium hirsutum (cotton), 87 nucleotides. Lineage: Eukaryota; Viridiplantae; Streptophyta; Magnoliopsida; Malvales; Malvaceae. The record is from Rfam.
CAUGUAAGCACGAGAUGCUUACGUGGAAGGAAAUCACUCCCUCAAGGACGCGAUUUCCUUCCACGUAAGCAUCUCGCGCUUACGUGG